AACAAGGCGUACCUGCGGACCUGCGGAGGGAUCAUUAACGAGCGUAACCUACCCUUUUAAAAAAUGGGUGGUACCUCCCGUCCUUUGCGGGCCCCCUUCUUUUAUUAAGGGGGGGGCUUUUAAGACUUUCUGCUUCGGCGGGGUUAUUCCCGCCGGAACACCUUCAAAAAACUCUUGAUCAAAAAACUGUUCAGUCCGAGAAUUUUUGAAAAUUAAAACAAAACUUUCAACAACGGAUCU
RNAcentral lists this unclassified non-coding RNA (240 nucleotides) under soil metagenome. RNAcentral describes it as "partial contains 5.8S ribosomal RNA, internal transcribed spacer 2, and large subunit ribosomal RNA". The record is from RNAcentral.